Molecule: long non-coding RNA, 433 nt
Organism: Grus americana (Whooping crane)
Lineage: Eukaryota; Metazoa; Chordata; Aves; Gruiformes; Gruidae
Exons: 3
Source: RefSeq, a predicted model, not a curated record
UUUCUUUAAAGCUUUACAACAGCAAUAAAAAAUAUUCUUCAGCAUUCCACUGUAACUGGCCAUUUCAGCAUGGGGAAUAUACCACCUCCAUCAGCCCAGUGAUUCAAUGUCCCUGCUCUGCCUUGAAGGACUGAAAAAUCCCCAAGUCCCAGGAAACACAACCUAAGGAGAAAUGCCAAGUGACAGAAGAUGAUGCUUCAUAAGAGAGACAGCGCCUGCCUCAAAGAGCUUGCAGUUUGCAUGUAGGCCCAGAGAUUGCUGAAGGAUGCUGCUAACAGGUUAUAAUGAGAAGGAACCCAAAGUCAGCACUGAGCAGCAACAAUUUAAAGCGGAUUGCGAUGGAUGUUGCUUUACUUGUCCAAUAUGAAUUGUCUUGCCUGUAUAAAUCUUAGAAGAAGAAAGCAACAAUCCAAUGAAUUUUCAUGUACGCAGU